AUGGUAGGAUAGAGGCCUACCAUGGUGGUAACGGGUAACGGGGUGUUAGGGCACGACACCGGAGAGGGAGCCUGAGAAACGGCUACCACAUCCAAGGAAGGCAGCAGGCGCGCAAAUUACCCAAUCCCGACACGGGGAGGUAGUGACAAUAAAUAACAAUACAGGGCUCUUUUGGGUCUUGUAAUUGGAAUGAGUACAAUUUAAAUCUCUUAACGAGGAACAAUUGGAGGGCAAGUCUGGUGCCAGCAGCCGCGGUAAUUCCAGCUCCAAUAGCGUAUAUNAAAGUUGUUGCAGUUAAAAAGCUCGUAGUUGAAUUUCGGGAUCAAUAUGUCGGUCGUGCCUUCGGUACGUACUGGUAUCAUUGGUCUCUCCUUUCUGACGAACCAUGAUGUCAUUAAUUUGGUGUUAUGGGGAGUUAGGACUGUUACUUUGAAAAAAUUAGAGUGUUUAAAGCAGGCUUUAGCUUGAAUACAUUAGCAUGGAAUAAUGAAAUAGGACGUUCGAACCUAUUUUGUUGGUUUCUAGGAUCAACGUAAUGAUUAAUAGGGAUAGUUGGGGGCAUUAGUAUUCAAUUGUCAGAGGUGAAAUUCUUGGAUUUAUUGAAGACUAACUACUGCGAAAGCAUUUGCCAAGGAUGUUUUCAUUAAUCAAGAACGAAAGUUAGGGGAUCGAAGACGAUCAGAUACCGUCGUAGUCUUAACCAUAAACUAUGCCGACUAGGAAUCGGAUGAUGUUAAUUUUUUAAUGACUCAUUCGGCGCCUUACGGGAAACCAAAGUGUUUGGG
Molecule: ribosomal RNA, 785 nt
Filed under: uncultured Glomus
Lineage: Eukaryota; Fungi; Glomeromycota; Glomeromycetes; Glomerales; Glomeraceae
Description: SSU rRNA
Rfam family: Eukaryotic small subunit ribosomal RNA
Source: RNAcentral